GAUGUGAGUGCCUGAUCUCCUGCUAACGGAUGAAGAAGUGCACAUGCUGAUCAUCUGAGAUCCCUUAGUUGCCUUCAAUACCGUUGGUUUGUGAAAUCCACCAGUUGUCCCUAGCAGGGGCCGACUCUGGAAGGGGACAGACUUUAAAGUGACUUGCUGGAGAGCCAAGUCACAGGAAGAAACAGACUCACAGGCACAGAGCCACCGUUGGGAGAAGAGCUGCUACUUCAUGCACUGCCAUAAGAAGGAGCUAGCGAUGCCACUUGCUAGUUUUCUGCACAGAAAAGCACCAGGAUAUAUGCAUUGCAGAAUUUGAGAGAGAUGCUGCAGAUGUCUCAACUACAGUAUGUUAGCACACCAAUUCCUUAUUCUGUUUAACGCUUUCUGUUCUUCAACCUCUUCACUGUUUCUGUGAAUAUUAAGCCAGAGGAUUUGAAAAUAUUAUUUCUUAAAGGCUUGGUUAAUCUUCUUCCAUUUGCUCCUUGUUUAGUGGCUGACCUUUGAUAGGAGGACAACGUACUGUGCCAUCUUCUCUGACUUAAUGAGCUACUGAAGAACCAUUUUUAUAACCUUUAUAACCAUAUUAUUAAUAUAUGGUAACUAAGAAUGUUAAUAUGACUCUACAGCAUAGUGAAUACCUGCAGGCUUGUUACUCUUAUCAGAAAAAUUUAUUGUACAGCCUGACUACUUUACUAUAGGUCUUAGCUACUGUGUAGUAUGAUUACAUACAUGUCAAUGUUUGUGUAAAUCAAUAUUUC
Long non-coding RNA from Trachemys scripta elegans, 758 nucleotides. RefSeq lists it as uncharacterized. The record is from RefSeq and is a predicted model, not a curated record. The transcript has 3 exons. NCBI's taxonomy places the organism in Eukaryota, Metazoa, Chordata, Testudines, Emydidae.